RNAcentral lists this ribosomal RNA (494 nucleotides) under uncultured bacterium. RNAcentral's name for it is "bacterial SSU rRNA". It matches the Rfam family "Bacterial small subunit ribosomal RNA", at positions 28 to 512 of the family's 1533-position model. The record is from RNAcentral.
GACGAACGCUGGCGGCGUGGAUUAGGCAUGCAAGUCGAACGGUAGGAUCCUUUCGGGGAUCUGAGAGUGGCGAACGGGUGAGUAACACGUAGGUGAUCUACCCUCAAGACGGGGACAACCCAGGGAAACUUGGGCUAAUACCGGAUGUGAGCUAUCGCGAGAUAGUUUGAAAGGUGGCUUCGGCUGCCGCUUGAGGAUGAGCCUGCGUCCUAUUAGCUAGUUGGUGAGGUAACGGCUCACCGAGGCAGUGAUAGGUAGGCGGCCUUAACGGGUGGUCGCCCACACUGGGAUUGAGAUACGGCCCAGACUCCUACGGGAGGCAGCAGUCGAGAAUAGUCUACAAUGGUCGAAAGACUGAUAGUGCGACGCCGCGUGAACGAAGAAGCCCUUCGGGGUGUAAAGUUCUUUUAUAUGUGAGCAGUGACACCCAUAUUAAUAGUAUGGGUGUAGAGAUAUUAGUCAUAUGAAUAAGCAACGGCUAACUCCGUGCCAGC